Molecule: transfer RNA, 66 nt
Filed under: Crataraea suturalis
Lineage: Eukaryota; Metazoa; Arthropoda; Insecta; Coleoptera; Staphylinidae
Description: tRNA-Thr
Rfam family: tRNA
About the family: Transfer RNA (tRNA) molecules are approximately 80 nucleotides in length. Their secondary structure includes four short double-helical elements and three loops (D, anti-codon, and T loops). Further hydrogen bonds mediate the characteristic L-shaped molecular structure. tRNAs have two regions of fundamental functional importance: the anti-codon, which is responsible for specific mRNA codon recognition, and the 3' end, to which the tRNAs corresponding amino acid is attached (by aminoacyl-tRNA synthetases). tRNAs cope with the degeneracy of the genetic code in two manners: having more than one tRNA (with a specific anti-codon) for a particular amino acid; and 'wobble' base-pairing, i.e. permitting non-standard base-pairing at the 3rd anti-codon position.
Source: RNAcentral
GUUUUAAUAAUUUAAUAAUAAAAAUAUUGGUCUUGUAAAUCAAAAAUAAGGAUAUCUUUUAAAACU